GGAUGCAAAAGUCGUAACACGGUUUCCGUAGGUGAACCUGCGGAAGGAUCAUUCACACAAUGCCCCCCAAAGCGGUUUCAUCAUCCACUAUCGAUCAGAAAAGCUUCUCGGGAGCGUUUUGCAUUGGUGGGACUGUGGUGAUGUGGGCUGCUGCUGGAGAGCGCCAGGAAACUAGCCUAACCCAAUCAUUGAAUCCCUUCCAGUUUUCUCACAACGUAUUUUCGAAAAUUAAGGACACAAACAAUGCCUAUUUUGUGCAUUUAAUGGAUUUGAAGCUUUUUAGAGGGGUGGAUAUCCUCUUGCAUGAGGACGCGGGUGGUGGGGCUGCAUGCAUGCAUGCAUGCAUGCAUGCAUGCAGGGCUGCAUGCAGCCCCACGCAUGUAGCAUGCGUGCACGCACGUAUGCAUGCGUGCACGCAUGUAUCAAGCAUGCGUACAUGCGUGAAAUCGAUGCAUGCAACCCAAUGCAUUUCCAUGAGAAUGCAUGCUAUAGGAAACGCCUUGCAUUAUAACAAAACUUUCAGCAAUGGAUGUCUUGGCUCACGCAUCGAUGAAGGACGCAGCGAAAUGCGAUACGCAUUGUGAAUUGCAGAUUUUAGUGAACCAUCAGAUUUCUGAACGCAUAUGGCGCUGUUGGGAUUACCCGACAGCACGUCUGUUUCAGUGUCUUUUGACUCCUUCAUAAAGUAUACUGCCAGAGCAUCGGUAGUGUGCAUGAUCACUUCGAUUGUUGUGGUGGUUUCGUCUGCGCGUCGCUGGUGGUAUAUACAUGAGCGUCGCAUAAAGUUCAUUAAAUUGUUCAACAUAUACUGUUGGCUAAUAAAAGCAAUCGGUUGCCAUUAUCCUUUCGUUCACGGAAGAGAUACGGUGGUGUUUAUACUGCUGAAUUGUAUCUCGAAGGCAGUGGACAGGUUAUAGGAGAGCGGUAUCGAUUGUGUUUUUUUUGGGGUUCAACAGAAUAAUAGACCUGAAAUCAGUCGAGGUUACCCGCUGAAUUUAAGCAUAUUAUUAAGCGGAGGA
Molecule: ribosomal RNA, 1019 nt
Filed under: Eimeria maxima
Lineage: Eukaryota; Apicomplexa; Conoidasida; Eucoccidiorida; Eimeriidae
Description: eukaryotic LSU rRNA
Rfam family: 5.8S ribosomal RNA (bases 515-668)
Source: RNAcentral